This 72-nucleotide transfer RNA is filed under the name Bos taurus (domestic cattle). It matches the Rfam family "tRNA". Rfam says of the family: Transfer RNA (tRNA) molecules are approximately 80 nucleotides in length. The record is from Rfam by way of RNAcentral. Lineage: Eukaryota; Metazoa; Chordata; Mammalia; Artiodactyla; Bovidae. RNAcentral also lists the same sequence under 1 other name.
UCCCUUGUAGCUUAGUUGGUAAAGAAUCUGCCUGCAUUGCAGGAUACCUGGGUUCUAUUCCUGGGUUGGGAA